RNAcentral lists this ribosomal RNA (253 nucleotides) under uncultured bacterium. RNAcentral describes it as "partial 16S ribosomal RNA". It matches the Rfam family "Bacterial small subunit ribosomal RNA", at positions 524 to 776 of the family's 1533-position model. The record is from RNAcentral.
UACAGAGGCCUCGAGCGUUAGGCGGAAUCACUGGGCUUAAAGCGUGUGUAGGCGGAGUUCUAAGUACCUUGUGAAAUCCCACCGCUCACCGGUGGAACUGCUGGGUAUACUGGAUCUCUUGAGCCACUUAGGGGCUACCGGAACAAAUGGUGGAGCGGUGAAAUGCGUAGAUAUCAUUUGGAACGCCAAUGGUGAAAACAGGUAGCUGGGGGUGUGCUGACACUGAGACACGAAAGCCAGGGGAGCAAACGGG